GGAAGUAAAAGUCGUAACAAGGUCUCCGUUGGUGAACCAGCGGAGGGAUCAUUAGCGAGUAUAACUCUCUAAAACCAUUGUGAACGAACGAACCCGUUGCUUCGGCGGACGGCUCUGCCGCCGCCGGAAGAACGCAAACUCUUGUUAUUAUUGUUUCUCUGAGUACUUAUUCAAUAAGUAAAAACUUUCAACAACGGAUCUCUUGGUUCUGGCAUCGAUGAAGAACGCAGCGAAAUGCGAUAAGUAAUGUGAAUUGCAGAAUUCAGUGAAUCAUCGAAUCUUUGAACGCACAUUGCGCCCCUCGGUAUUCCGGGGGGCAUGCCUGUUCGAGCGUCAUUACACCAAUCAAGCCUCGCUUGGUCUUGGGCGUCCGCGGUUCCGCCGCGCGCCCCAAAGUCUCCGGCUGAGCCGCCCGUCUCGAAGCGUUGUGAUCUAAUCGAAUCGCUUGCGGGAUUGGGCCGGCUUGUCCGCCGUCAAAACCCCCCUUUCUUAACAGGUUGACCUCGGAUCAGGUAGGGAUACCCGCUGAACUUAAGCAUAUCAAUAAGCGGAGGA
Molecule: ribosomal RNA, 555 nt
Filed under: uncultured fungus
Lineage: Eukaryota; Fungi
Description: eukaryotic LSU rRNA
Rfam family: 5.8S ribosomal RNA (bases 183-336)
Source: RNAcentral